Long non-coding RNA from Zingiber officinale, 300 nucleotides. RefSeq lists it as uncharacterized. The transcript is spliced from 3 exons. NCBI's taxonomy places the organism in Eukaryota, Viridiplantae, Streptophyta, Magnoliopsida, Zingiberales, Zingiberaceae. The record is from RefSeq and is a predicted model, not a curated record.
CUUUGAGGAUACACUUGGAGGAAUGAUUGCUUGGCCUUGUCAUCUGUUGGCAAUAAGCGAAGAUUUCUAUUAGUGCAUAUAGAAUGAUACUUUAUAUGUUUCUCAUUUGGUGACAUGUACUUGGAUUUUGCAUAUGAUGGUUGAAGAUGGUUGAUAGUAAAUUAGUUGAGUUUUUAUUUUACAAGGCUUAGUUUUAAAACUCAAUGAUUUGUUAGUAUUUAGUUAGCAUUGGAUUCAAUACUUUUAUAUCAGUAUUGCAUUUGUACUUUUGUGACGAUGGGAUGAAUUGUGAUGAUAUGG